Molecule: ribosomal RNA, 315 nt
Filed under: Triticum aestivum (bread wheat)
Lineage: Eukaryota; Viridiplantae; Streptophyta; Magnoliopsida; Poales; Poaceae
Description: partial small subunit ribosomal RNA
Source: RNAcentral
AUGGUUGUGGAUUUUUUUUUUCAGCGGCAUGAUGAUCCCUGCUCCCCAUUUGUUGUACAACUACUAAUGGAUCUUUGGGAUGCAAUCAGGAGGUUUGAAGCUGCAUGUGGUGAUGGCUGGAAGCAAUGGAUAGAACAGAUGCAGAGAAAUGGAACAGAGGAUGCAUUGAGACAAUUAGUUCUGAAGAAAAAUGCAGAAGUUCAAGCAAAUAGGGCAAGAUGUGAUAGUUUAGAAAGAAAACAAAUGUCCAGCAUUGUGUUUUAUGGCAUGAUCAUGUUAGUGGCAGGUUUAUUUGCAAGAUUUGUCCUGCAUUGA